GAUGAACGCUGGCGGCGUGCCUAAUACAUGCCAGUCGAGCGAACAGACGAGGAGCUCGCUCCUCUGACGUUAGCGGCGGACGGGUGAGUAACACGUGGAUAACCUACCUAUAAGACUGGGAUAACUUCGGGAAACCGGAGCUAAUACCGGAUAAUAUAUUGAACCGCAUGGUUCAAUAGUGAAAGACGGUUUUGCUGUCACUUAUAGAUGGAUCCGCGCCGCAUUAGCUAGUUGGUAAGGUAACGGCUUACCAAGGCAACGAUGCGUAGCCGACCUGAGAGGGUGAUCGGCCACACUGGAACUGAGACACGGUCCAGACUCCUACGGGAGGCAGCAGUAGGGAAUCUUCCGCAAUGGGCGAAAGCCUGACGGAGCAACGCCGCGUGAGUGAUGAAGGUCUUCGGAUCGUAAAACUCUGUUAUUAGGGAAGAACAAAUGUGUAAGUAACUAUGCACGUCUUGACGGUACCUAAGCAGAAAGCCACGGCUAACUACGU
This 496-nucleotide ribosomal RNA is filed under the name uncultured bacterium. Its description in RNAcentral is "partial 16S ribosomal RNA". It matches the Rfam family "Bacterial small subunit ribosomal RNA", at positions 28 to 506 of the family's 1533-position model. The record is from RNAcentral.